GUGAGGAAUAUUGCGCAAUGGAGGCAACUCUGACGCAGCCAUGCCGCGUGCAGGAAGAAGGCGCUACGCGUUGUAAACUGCUUUUAACCGGGAAGAAACCCCAGGACGUGUCCUGGGUUGACGGUACCGGAGGAAUAAGCACCGGCUAACUUCGUGCCAGCAGCCGCGGUAAUACGAAGGGUGCAAGCGUUAUCCGGAUUCAUUGGGUUUAAAGGGUGCGUAGGCGGAGCGUUAAGUCAGUGGUGAAAUCCUGCAGCUUAACUGCAGACUUGCCAUUGAUACUGGAGCUCUUGAGUGCGCUUGAAGUGGGCGGAAUGUGCCGUGUAGCGGUGAAAUGCUUAGAUAUGGCACAGAACACCAAUUGCGAAGGCAGCUCACUAAGGCGAUACUGACGCUGAGGCACGAAAGCGUGGGGAUCGAACAGGAUUAGAAACCCGUGUAGUCC
Molecule: ribosomal RNA, 445 nt
Filed under: uncultured bacterium
Lineage: Bacteria
Description: partial 16S ribosomal RNA
Rfam family: Bacterial small subunit ribosomal RNA
Source: RNAcentral